AGAGUUUGAUCAUGGCUCAGAGUGAACGCUGGCGGCAGGCCUAAUACAUGCAAGUCGAACGGCAGCACAGCAGAGCUUGCUCUGUGGGUGGCGAGUGGCGGACGGGUGAGGAAUACGUGGGAAUCUGCCCAGUCGUGGGGGAUAACGUAGGGAAACUUACGCUAAUACCGCAUGCGCCCUUCGGGGGAAAGCCGGGGACCUUCGGGCCUGGCGCGAUUGGAUGAGCCCACGUCGGAUUAGCUAGUUGGCGGGGUAAGGGCCCACCAAGGCGACGAUCCGUAGCUGGUCUGAGAGGAUGAUCAGCCACACUGGAACUGAGACACGGUCCAGACUCCUACGGGAGGCAGCAGUAGGGAAUAUUGGACAAUGGGCGCAAGCCUGAUCCAGCCAUGCCGCGUGAGUGAAGAAGGCCCUCGGGUUGUAAAGCUCUUUUGUCCGGAAAGAAAAGCGCCGGGUUAAUACCCUGGUGUCCUGACGGUACCGGAAGAAUAAGCACCGGCUAACUUCGUG
Molecule: ribosomal RNA, 510 nt
Filed under: uncultured bacterium
Lineage: Bacteria
Description: bacterial SSU rRNA
Rfam family: Bacterial small subunit ribosomal RNA
Source: RNAcentral